Molecule: ribosomal RNA, 253 nt
Filed under: uncultured bacterium
Lineage: Bacteria
Description: partial 16S ribosomal RNA
Rfam family: Bacterial small subunit ribosomal RNA
Source: RNAcentral
UACGGAGGGUGCAAGCGUUAUCCGGAUUCACUGGGUUUAAAGGGUGCGUAGGUGGGUUGGUAAGUCAGUUGUGAAAUCUCCGGGCUUAACCUGGAAACUGCCAUUGAUACUAUCAAUCUUGAAUACCUUGGAGGUGAGCGGAAUAUGUCAUGUAGCGGUGAAAUGCUUAGAUAUGACAUAGAACACCAAUUGCGAAGGCAGCUCACUACACGGUCAUUGACACUGAGGCACGAAAGCGUGGGGAUCAAACAGG